AUGGCUGCUGCCUCUGAGGAGAAACUGCUUCCAAAUAAGACAGAAAUUGUGGUCUGGAAGCCCAGAAAAGAAUGUUUGCAGCAGAAUAUUCCAAAUGUUCCUGAUGGCAAGUCUGAGGAGAGUGAAUCUGCUUCUACCUCUCCCAGUGAAGUUUCUAGUAUACCUGAGUCUUCAGGGCAGCAAGAUGCAUCUGAGCAUGAGGUGGAAGACUGGGAUAGAGAACUAGAGGAGUUCACAUGUGGUCCUUACGAUGCUGACGAUCUCUCCUGUGGAAGCUUUGAGGAAAAUAAUCUUUCCAGCUCGUCUCUCAGUGUUAUUAUCUGACAAAAUGUGGUACCUGCACUACUGGCAAUGGUGUCCUCUCAUCUCCAUGGUCCCUCCCAAAGCAGGAUAGCCUGAAGACUAGGACAAAAUCCUGUGCAUUACAGCGGUGUUGGCAUAUCUUGAGAGACCAGAACUGUGAUGAUGCCACAUAUUCCAAAUUUCUUCUGAUUUCAUGUUUUCUGUGCUGAUUUUUAAGAUCUGUCAGAG
This 531-nucleotide long non-coding RNA is filed under the name Cyanistes caeruleus (blue tit). RNAcentral describes it as "lncRNA (ENSCCEG00000016877.1)". Lineage: Eukaryota; Metazoa; Chordata; Aves; Passeriformes; Paridae. The record is from RNAcentral.